CCAAUGGCCUGGCCAAGAAUGUUGAUGUCACAAGGAAAGGGAACAGAGUUUGAUUGUGUGUCACAUAGAACUGGGAACAGACUGCUGUACUUAGAGGGACGUCCUUAUCAAUUAGGUAAUGUCUGCUAAUGAUUGAGGAGCUGUGUUAGGCAGUGCUCCAGCUGUUGAUAUGUUAGCAAACAUCUGCAAAGGGCACUCGUACCUUGUGGGAAAAACUUUUCUUAGUCUGGAUCCCACUGGUCCAAGCCCUGAAAGACUGGCAGACCCAACAGCAUCUCACAGGGCAUCUGAAACAGAGGAACAUGGCAGAAAUGUGGACUGGGCACAGGAGGCAGCUCUGCUUGGGAUGUUGGUUCCAUCUCCAGGAGAUCAACAGCGCUAUGGGAAGAGGAAGGUGUGGCCAAGGCUCUGACAUUGCUGUGGUCUUCCAGAGAAUGGGCCAUCAGCAACAUCAUCACCACUUGCCUCCGUCUGGAGGUACUAGCAGGUCCUUUGUAGUUUGAAAAUGUCCGACAGAGCAUUACAACUAAAUCUUAAGAGGACCAUCAUACAGCGAGAGACAUUUUCUUCCUGUGCAUCCAAGCAAGAAGGCCUGUUUCACAGUCUUUUAAGCUGAUUCCUGAGUCUCCUACACACGCCUGAAUCAGAUGUGUGGGUGUUUCUGUGUCUGGUGUACCUAGAACAGGGCCAAUGGGAGGAAGUGACGCGCUACUGAACCUGUACUAACCGCAGGGAUUGGUUUGAAUAUUUAGAGUUACUUGAGACCUGAGGGUUAACAAUGUGCUAGGAAGAGACUGGCUUAUGAUUCAUUAUUUCAACCCUAAAAGGUUACACCUUAUUACAUUCAGAAGCACAACUUCACUAUGUUCAAUUUUAAUCUCUAUUCUUUGAGACUCUGCUCUUUGCCUUUCAGAUCUUGAUACAACCAACGAUCAAAAUAAUGGAAUUUCAGCCUGGAUGGGUUACACUAGCAACACCAGGGAGACAGAAGUGUCAGGAAAACAAAGACAGGAAAGUUUAUACGUGGGACGCCUACCACAGCAUGGCUGCCAAGCAGUGCCAUGUCCGCACCCGGGAUCCGAAGCAGCGAACCCCGGGCCGCCGAGAAGUGGAACGUGCGAACUUAACCGCUGCGCCACCGGGCCGGCCCCAUGGAUCACGCAAUUAUUAAGUGGAGGAUAUGGGAUUCGAACCCAGGCAUGUCUGGUUUACUCCAUCUGCAGGGAGCUUGCCAUCAUUUGACACUGUUUCGGCACAGCCUGAGCACCCUCCAAGUGGGCCGCUCUGGGAAAGCCACUUCCAGUUGGUGAAGUUGGCACGAGUGAUAAAACUUAUUUGACUUCUUGGCCUUCAUCAAAUUCCUUUCUUUGCAGAUGAAGAAACUGGGCCAAAGAGAGCUCUGUGAAAUGACUUGCCCAAGGUCACACAGGCAGUUUGUCCUGUGUGAGCCAAGACUGUUCAAAUUCUUGGUCCGUCUCACUGCAUGAAAACCCCUCAUCCUCCAAUCACUGGCCCCCACAACAACUUCGUUCCUCGGGCCUGAUCAGCUUGGGGUUUUUAGUAGCCUAAAGCCGUUAGGAUAAUUUCUUCUCUCUAAAUCACAGCCUGAUAGAAGUUGAAGGACGCACUUCCUGGGGCUGAAAGGUCUUGGGGAGGAAUGAGCGAGGCUAAUAUUACCCCCACUGCCUUUGGAUCUCUUCUAAAGACCCAGAUGCCACAUUACCUGUAACUCAAGUACUUAUAAAUUGGCUUCCCCCUAAUUUGACUUUUCUGAGGAAUCUCUGGAGACUUAACUCAUGUGGAAAAGUUCUUGAGAAUUUUCAGAGGGGGGCAGUCCAACUGCUUGUGCCCUAAACCAAUAUAAGCACAAACCCAGGGUGAGAUUAUUUUCCUUACGGUUGAGAAUUAGAAACUGCUCCAGUGAGAGGGGACUUUUAAGAGGCCCAAGGAGGGAAGUGAGUUACCCGAGGUCACAGAGUAGGUCUGUGGCAAUUAAGGGCUCAAGAGCCAGACUGCCUGGGUCCAACCUUAGGACACCUCCUUAUUGGCUGUGUGACAUUGGGCAGGGUAGCUACUGUCUCCCCAGGCCUUGGUUUCCCCAUCUGUAUUGGAAGUAAUGUAUGGUGGAUUAGAGAGGUCUACAAAUUCUUUGAUACUUUUCUACUCAAGAGAUGCCACCUAUUUCCCCUCUCUUUAAAUCUGAGUUGGCUUGUGAUUGUUUUUUGUUUUGAAGAAGAAGAUUAGCCCUGAGCUAACAUCCACCACCAAUCUUCCUCUUUUUGCUGAGGAAGAUUGGCCCUGAGCUAACACCCAAGCUCUAACAUCCAUGUUAGCUCAUCUAGAUAGAGCUAACAUCUUCCUCUAUUUUAUAUGUGGGACGCCUGCCAAAGCAUGGCUUGAUAAGCAGUGCAUAGGGCUGUGCCCAGGAUCCAAACCAGCAAACCCCUGCGCUGCUGAAAUGGAGUGUGCAAACUUAACCACUACGCCACUGGGCUGGCCCUGGCUUGUGAUUGUUUUGACCAAUAAAGUCUAGUGAAGUGUGAUAUGCCAGUUCUAGGUCUAGUCUUUAAAAGGAUUGUCAGGUUCUGCCUUGGGCUUAUGGAGCCCAAGACUGCCACAAAAGAGGCCACCAUGCUACGAGGAAGCCCAAGCCAGCCAUUUGAAGAGGCUGUGUGUUUGGGAAGAGGCCCAGGCAGCCUUUGGCUAUACCACCCCAAGCCUCUGGAGUCAUCUUAACUGAAGUCCAGACAUUAUUAAGCAGAGAUCAACACCACCUCUGUGCCUUGUCCAAAUUCCUGACUCACAGAAUCAGGAGAUAUAUUAACACUAAAUUGCCAUUUUCAACCACUAAGGGUAGUUUGUUAUACAGCAACAGAUAACCAGAACAGUGGUUCUCAGAGGGUUGUUGUGAGAAUUAUGAGUUGAUACACCCGUAAAAGUUUAGGGCAGUGCCUGGCACAGUUAGUGUUCAAUAAAAGUGAGUUACUACUCAUUCCACAAACAUUUAUUAUAUACCAAGUUGGUCUACACCCUGCACUAGCUGGGAGGGAUGCAGGGCUGAAUGGGAGCCAAACAAUUGGGCCUUUGUGGAAAUUAGGAUUAACUAGAACCUGGUCACAUACUUCAGUUAAGUAAGAAAUGUAUUUCCCCCACUCUGGGCCACCACAUUGUCUCUGUGUCUGGGGGAAGUAGAAGUCUCCAGCCUCGCACAGAAGGGAGCCGCCUGCCUGGACUCUGGGCAGGCCUGGAGGGGUUAAGUCCAUGGAUGUUGUCCCAUCGCUACGCUACUACAGCUGAAAAUUCAGCAGCUAUUGAUUCCCGGAUAAUCUAAUGCUGUUCACCUCAUACUGUGAGCAACUAGUGUUACAGUUUGUUCCAGGAACCAUGAUUUUGAUUCUUUUCUUUUCUUCUCCCUGUCUCCCUGCCAGUUACCUUAAGUAAAACCACUCAAGCUCACAAAACCUGUGCUGUCAUGCAAAAGAAAUUUGACUGCCUUAAGAAAAUCUAAUUAGAUUAAUUGAAGUAG
RNAcentral lists this long non-coding RNA (3526 nucleotides) under Equus caballus (horse). RNAcentral describes it as "lncRNA (ENSECAG00000058249.1)". The record is from RNAcentral. Lineage: Eukaryota; Metazoa; Chordata; Mammalia; Perissodactyla; Equidae.